CUACGGGCGCUCCAGUAGGGAAUAUUGCGCAAUGGGCGAAAGCCUGACGCAGCAAUACCGCGUGAGUGAGGAAGGAUUUCGGUUCGUAAAACUCUGUCAGAGUGGAAAAAUGGCAUAUUGUCCAAUAGGCAUUAUGUUUGAUGGUACACUCAAAGGAAGCACCGGCUAACUUCGUGCCAGCAGCCGCGGUAAUACGAAGGGUGCGAGCGUUGUUCGGAUUUAUUGGGCGUAAAGAGCGCGUAGGCGGAUUGAUAAGUCAGGUGUGAAAUCUCGGGGCUCAACCUCGAAACUGCGCCUGAACUGUUAAUCUAGAAUCUUAUAGAGGGAAAGGGAAUUUCGCAUGUAGGAGUAAAAUCCGUAGAGAUGCGAAGGAACACCAGAGGCGAAGGCGCUUUCCUGGAGAAGUAUUGACGCUGAGGCGCGAAAGCGUGGGGAGCAAACAGGAUUAGAUACCCUGGUAGUC
RNAcentral lists this ribosomal RNA (463 nucleotides) under uncultured bacterium. RNAcentral's name for it is "partial 16S ribosomal RNA". It matches the Rfam family "Bacterial small subunit ribosomal RNA", at positions 339 to 795 of the family's 1533-position model. The record is from RNAcentral.